CUAUACAUGCAAGUCGAGCGGACAGAUGGGAGCUUGCUCCCUGAUGUUAGCGGCGGACGGGUGAGUAACACGUGGGUAACCUGCCUGUAAGACUGGGAUAACUCCGGGAAACCGGGGCUAAUACCGGAUGGUUGUUUGAACCGCAUGGUUCAGACAUAAAAGGUGGCUUCGGCUACCACUUACAGAUGGACCCGCGGCGCAUUAGCUAGUUGGUGAGGUAACGGCUCACCAAGGCAACGAUGCGUAGCCGACCUGAGAGGGUGAUCGGCCACACUGGGACUGAGACACGGCCCAGACUCCUACGGGAGGCAGCAGUAGGGAAUCUUCCGCAAUGGACGAAAGUCUGACGGAGCAACGCCGCGUGAGUGAUGAAGGUUUUCGGAUCGUAAAGCUCUGUUGUUAGGGAAGAACAAGUGCCGUUCAAAUAGGGCGGCACCUUGACGGUACCUAACCAGAAAGCCACGGCUAACUACGUGCCAGCAGCCGCGGUAAUACGUAGGUGGCAAGCGUUGUCCGGAAUUAUUGGGCGUAAAGGGCUCGCAGGCGGUUUCUUAAGUCUGAUGUGAAAGCCCCCGGCUCAACCGGG
Molecule: ribosomal RNA, 586 nt
Filed under: Bacillus sp. (in: firmicutes)
Lineage: Bacteria; Bacillati; Bacillota; Bacilli; Caryophanales; Bacillaceae
Description: bacterial SSU rRNA
Rfam family: Bacterial small subunit ribosomal RNA
Source: RNAcentral